GACGAACGCUGGCGGCGUGCCUAAUACAUGCAAGUAGAACGCUGAAGGAGGAGCUUGCUUCUCUGGCUGAGUUGCGAACGGGUGAGUAACGCGUAGGUAACCUGCCUUGUAGCGGGGGAUAACUAUUGGAAACGAUAGCUAAUACCGCAUAAGAGAAGAUGUUGCAUGACAUUUGCUUAAAAGGUGCAAUUGCAUCACUACCAGAUGGACCUGCGUUGUAUUAGCUAGUUGGUGGGGUAACGGCUCACCAAGGCGACGAUACAUAGCCGACCUGAGAGGGUGAUCGGCCACACUGGGACUGAGACACGGCCCAGACUCCUACGGGAGGCAGCAGUAGGGAAUAUUCGGCAAUGGGCGGAAGUCUGACCGAGCAACGCCGCGUGAGUGAAGAAGGUUUUCGGAUCGUAAAGCUCUGUUGUAAGAGAAGAACGGGUGUGAGAGUGGAAAGUUCUCACUGUAACGGUAUCUUACCAGAAAGGGACGGCUAACUACGU
This 494-nucleotide ribosomal RNA is filed under the name uncultured bacterium. Its description in RNAcentral is "partial 16S ribosomal RNA". It matches the Rfam family "Bacterial small subunit ribosomal RNA", at positions 28 to 506 of the family's 1533-position model. The record is from RNAcentral.